UCGUGGCAGCUGUACGGGUUCUGCCUCAGCCAGUGUCCGUGGCGCAUCUGGAAGGGGUUCUCGGCUGUUUGGUGGUACUCUGGUGGCGGGGAGAACCAGCAAGAUUGCAAUGUGUCCGACGGCAGCUUGAGUGAGGAACGGAAGGAGGCGGCGUCAUCGCGAGAUUUUACGACAUGUAAGCCAGUCCAAGGGGUGUCCAAACUUUUUGCAAGGAGAGCCGGAUUUAAUAAAGUGAAGAGGCCCGGGGGCCAAUAGAUUUUUCAGACAUUUUUUAACGACAAAAAUUUCAUGCAAAUACACACUUUUAUAAAACAAAUUUCAUUGUCACAAUUGUCUUUAUUUUUCAAAUGACAAAAUAACCAAAUAUAAGCCAUUCAGGCAGAUGUGAACAACUCUAAAAACACAAAUUCUGCCUUUCAUUCUUAUCUGAAGAGUCAGAUAACAUUGAACAAACUGUUUGAAAUACCUUACAUUUACAUGAGUUUAAAAUGAUUUUUGCCUCAUGAACAUUUUAAACAGGAGUUAUGCAAAUUUGUCUGUUAUUAAAACAUAAAACAAGUGA
This is a long non-coding RNA of Syngnathus typhle (broad-nosed pipefish), 562 nucleotides long. RefSeq lists it as uncharacterized. The record is from RefSeq and is a predicted model, not a curated record. Lineage: Eukaryota; Metazoa; Chordata; Actinopteri; Syngnathiformes; Syngnathidae. The transcript is spliced from 2 exons.